GCUGGCGGCGUGCUUAACACAUGCAAGUCGAACGGAGAAUUUAUUUCGGUAAAUCUUAGUGGCGAACGGGGUGAGUAACGCGUAGGCAACCUGCCCUUUGGAUGGGGACAACAUUCCGAAAAGGAGUGCUAAUACCGAAUGUGAUCCAUUUCUCGCAUGAGAGAUGGAUGAAAGAUGGCCUCUAUUUAUAAGCUAUCGCCAAAAGGAUGGGCCUGCGUCUGAUUAGUUAGUUGGUGGGGUAACGGCUCACCAAGACGAUGAUCAGUAGCCGGUCUGAGAGGAUGAACGGCCACAUUGGGACUGAGACACGGCCCAAACUCCUACGGGAGGCAGCAGUGGGGAAUCUUCCGCAAUGGACGAAAGUCUGACGGAGCAACGCCGCGUGAGUGAUGAAGGUUUUCGGACUGUAAAACUCUGUUGUCAGGGACGAAGGUGCGAUCUGCGAAUAGUUGAUCGUAUUGACGGUACCUGACGAGGAAGCCACGGCUAACUACGUG
Molecule: ribosomal RNA, 497 nt
Filed under: uncultured bacterium
Lineage: Bacteria
Description: bacterial SSU rRNA
Rfam family: Bacterial small subunit ribosomal RNA
Source: RNAcentral